Molecule: long non-coding RNA, 1080 nt
Filed under: Ailuropoda melanoleuca (giant panda)
Lineage: Eukaryota; Metazoa; Chordata; Mammalia; Carnivora; Ursidae
Description: lncRNA (ENSAMEG00000026309.1)
Source: RNAcentral
GGAAGUUGCUUUUUUUUUUUUUUCUGCUCCUAGUCACCUCCUCCAUCUUCCCAGGAGCCCACAUCCAACUCUUGCUCUCAACACCUCGUCUUUGCUAGCGGCCCCAAAUGACAAGGUUUGGGUAACCAGCAAUCCCUUGGGUUUGGGUUGUUUGUUUUACACGGUUGGGAAGAAUAGGAGGAUUAGGUAGGAGAGUCCAUUUGGCUUUUUGCUGGAGCAUUAAGAGGCAUGGUGAGAUAGGUUCAGGUGUGUUUCGCUGGUGGGAAUGCGAGUGCAAUCCAGAGGAGGGUGACGUGACCCUGAGCCAUGAGAAAGGUUCCUUGAAAUUACCCAUGAGAACAUCUCCUGACAUGACUGACAGGAAAGAGGGAGUGCUGCUUUCAAACGGAGGGUGACUGGCAGCAGGAUGAGAUCAGAGCUUGCGGGUGGUUGACCUGGCGUCCGUCCCACCGUACAGCACAUUCCCGUGUGUGUGUGUGUGUGUGUGUGUGUGUGCCAAAGACACCCGCAUGCACUGAAGAGUGAGUCAUGACAACCCCGCCUGAGUCAGCAAACCUAAUCCAAGGGCCCGAUCGCUCACUUGACCCAAUUGACUACAAACCCAACUGCUUUAUUCUCCAUCUCCAGUGUUGGAGACCAGGACUCUGUUCACAGGCAUGCUGCAGGCACAUGCUGUAGCCCUUGGCGGGGCUGAUGAAACACUUUCUGCAGAUCCAGGACAAACAAGGCUAUCUAGCUAGGUGGGAACACCCAGCCCUGGGCAGACGUCCCCAUGUUUGGUGUCAUCUGCAGAUGCUACAGAUGAACUCCCGCAACAAGGACAAUUGAUUCAGUGGUCAAGGUAGCGGUAGUGUUGAUGCUCUUCCCGAGAGAGCAGCAGCUGCUGACAGUGCCGGCUGGCACGGAAGAUCCCGCUGGUUUCUCUGAUCAUUCCUCCCACCGGUGGACUUGGAUGGCCCCAAAGGCCAUGUGACCAGCUUGGUGUGCCACCCCCAAGCUUCUGGAUCCUGAAGUUCCUGCCCCUCUGAACUGCAGUGGACAAAUCAGGUGAUCCUAUUUACUCUGGCAAUGUAAGUUCUU